CAGUAGCCGCGGUAAUACGUAGGUGGCAAGCGUUGUCCGGAAUUAUUGGGCGUAAAGGGCUCGCAGGCGGUUUCUUAAGUCCGAUGUGAAAGCCCCCGGCUCAACCGGGGAGGGUCAUUGGAAACUGGGAAACUUGAGUGCAGAAGAGGAGAGUGGAAUUCCACGUGUAGCGGUGAAAUGCGUAGAGAUGUGGAGGAACACCAGUGGCGAAGGCGACUCUCUGGUCUGUAACUGACGCUGAGGAGCGAAAGCGUGGGGAGCGAACAGGAUUAGAUACCCCUGUAGUCCCUGUCUCUUAUAC
This 301-nucleotide ribosomal RNA is filed under the name uncultured bacterium. Its description in RNAcentral is "partial 16S ribosomal RNA". It matches the Rfam family "Bacterial small subunit ribosomal RNA", at positions 509 to 807 of the family's 1533-position model. The record is from RNAcentral.